AAUAAGGGGAUGAGAGAAUGUCGUCGCAGGAUAGAGGGCACUGCCUGUGAUUCACGAAUGCAGACAUGUUUAUAGCCAGUGUCUCUAUUUUCCGACAAUAUUCUCUUCAACCUCUGUCACAGUAUCUUUGUUUUGUUGGUACCAUGGAAGAUUUACGAGGUUUGUAUUUCAUAUCCAACUUUUAUCACUGUACUUUUCUGAACUUUGAACUAUCACUUAAUGCAGAUCAUUUCAAGCUUUUUAGUUUAGCUUUUGCUUUGCAUUAGUUAUAGUUUUUUUAUUUAUUUAAAAUAACUUAUUUAAAUCUGCAAUUUUUUACUCAAAUUAAGCUUCAUAUUUAUCUUGUUGAGAGUUAUAUAAAAAAGAAUUAACGGAAACCAAGUCAUAUUUAAAUUGUUGUGAUUGAACUGCUAUGUUCUUAAUGAGAUAGAAAUUGAUGAUAAAAGCAUAGUUGUGAAUUACAUCAAUUUUAUUAAUUAUAUUUUUUAGUAAAGAGAUCAACAUUUAAUCCUCUAACAUACAUUUUAUGUAAUUUAACAUAUAACUUCUAAAAUGUAUAUUAAGUUGUGUAACCUAUACUUUGACCUUUAUGAAGUUAUGAUAGACUUUUACACAAAAACAUGCAAUUAAAACUUUAUCUGCUAUUUCACAGUAACGUUUUUUUCUCAAACUAUCACAUAAACCUUUGAAUCAUUCCUUUCACCAUUCAUGAAUAAUUUUGGAAAAAGAACUCUACUUAUUUGCAUAUUUGUCUUAAUGAAUAGUUUUAUUUAUUUAUAAUUUUUUUUCUUUAUAUUACUAAUUUUUUGUACAUGGUCGGUGAAAACAUGUUUUAAUGGAUUAAUAUGAAUGGUAAGAAAAAUAAAAAAUUAUAAUUAUUGAUCAUUCUAAUAUAAUCGUUUCAUGUAUAAGAAACAAAUCUUAAAGUGUUAAAAUUGAGAGGCCUGUUUCUUAAAAGUGACAAAAAAUUGAUGUUUUGUAUUUUAGCUUCUCAUGACCAUAGAAAAAGGGUUUCGAAAAUUUAGCACAUCAAUCUAUUUAAGUUGAUGUUUUUAUUUUUAUUAUAUAAAAAAAGACAAAAUUGGAAAGUAAAAUAAAUAUAAUAUAAAAAAUAUCAUACCAAAAUAAUAUAUAAAUUCUCAUUACAAUUUCAUUAAUAUAUUUCAUUUUAUUUUAUAUUAUAUUAAAUUAAUUUCCAAAUAAUUAGUCGAAAUAAAUUAGUUUUAUCAUGAUUAAAAAAAUAACACAAGAUUGUCUCACUAAGUAAUAUUUAUUCAUUUAAAUUCUUAAAAUUAAACCUCUUAGUAGAGUGCCAUCAAUAUUAACGAUCUUUUUUUUUCAAAUGUUUAGAUUUUUUUAUCAUAUUCAUUUCUCAAUAACAAAUAAUAAAUAUUAAAAUUAAAAACAUACGUAAUAUAAACAUAAAAUGAAUGUGUAAUUUUGUAACAUUAAAAUAAUAACUUUUCUACUAUUUUUCUUGUCCUUGUGAUCUAGAAAAUAAGUGUAUGGUUUGGGCUGCUUUUUUCUAUUUCAUGAUUUUCUUGUAGUGAUUGUUACGUUGCAUACAAAUUUAUUGUAUAAAUCAGAGUUUCUUGUAUAGAUAUCUGUAUUUCACCUUGUUCUGUACAAUAUAUAUUCAAUCAAGAUUAUUAAUUUACAUGGUUAAUCUUAUACUUAUUUAAUUUAUUUAUUUUCUCUAAUAAUAUGUAUAUUUGUUACUUUCUUUUUGUUUCCAUCACAGGUUUAAACCACCCAAAUUAUAAGUAUAGCCUCAUAUUUAUGUGGAUUAGUCCUUUGGAAUGUUGUGUAAGACAAAACCAAAAAACUAACUCACAAAUCUUAUAUAGAUUAAUUGACCUGAUUGAUUUUUUUUUCAAAUCAAAUAUAGAACAAAUUAAGAGUUAAUUCAUCCAUAAGUUGAUAAUAAAAAUAUUAUUUUUUAAAUUUUGGUUUUGUAACAUCUCAUUAUCCAUCCAUAAAAUAAUUAAAAGGUUAUAAAAUAAAUAGAUGAAAAAAAUUAAAGAAUAAAAUUUAUUAAACAAAAUACAAUGUAUAAUUCUGAAAUUAGUUUAUGGUUGUAUGAAGAUUAGACUUUUUCUUAUGUAUGUCUCAGUUUGUAGUUUUCUUUUGGAUUUCUAUUUUAGAUGUUUUUCUUUCCUUUAAGGAUUAGAAGAAGUUUUUGUGAAUUUAUUUAUUUAUAUGUGUGAAAUUAAUUAAUUGGAUAUAAUUAUACUGUGACUUUAAUUAAUAGUAGAAGUUUUAUAUGGAUUGAGGCUGGGUCUUGGUUGGGCUUUAAUUUGGACAAAGGAAAGUGGGGUGUAAAUAGAAGGGUGGCAAUUUUGUUGUUUUCGAAAAUGGAAACCCCAAAAUUGUUUUUUUUUUCUUUAAGCAUCCUAAAGUUCCACAAAAACUCUUCUUCCUCUAAGGUUGAGUAAGCAACUAGGAAAACAUCCACAUCUUGCUAUAAUAACCAUAAGUAAGGCUUUUUUGUUUUCUUUUUGUGAAGAAAAAUCCAUAUAUGCAAUGGUUUGGGGAAAUUUUUUAUGUGGGGUUUUUUAGUUUCAUUUUGAGAUUAGGGUAAAAUUUUAUGUGUGUUUGAUGGUUAAGGUAAAAGGUAGAUGAUUAAAAAAUUCUUAUUUGUGGUGCUUCAAUCUUUUCCUUCUAGAGAAGAUUCCUUAUGUUACAAGCAUAAACCUAGGUAAGCAAGUUAGAAUUUACUCUUAGUUUAAAAAAAAGAUUUUGAAGGAUGUUUUGUCUUGGUUUUCAAAGGAUUGUAAUUUCAUGAAAAAUAAUGGAAUAGACAAAAUCUUUUCAAAGUUGAGAUAUUGAUUAAUUAUUUGUGUUAGGUAGGAUUUUGAAAUCUAAACAAUUGGUAGUUAAAACCUUGGUAGUUAAUUAGAUAUCAAUUUAUAAACUAUUUAUCAAAUAGUAGAAACUAAUUUAAAAACUAAUAUUUUUUUAGUAUCUAAAAUAUCUUUAAUUUAGUUAAUAUAGUAACUAAUUUUUUUUUUCUAUAAAAUUAGUUUUUAUUUAAUGAUUUUCUUGUAAUGGUGCAUUAGUUUAUGGAUGACAUGUGGAUGUGGAGUAUAUAUAUUAUCACAUGCAAAUAUGAAUGAAAUUGAAGAAAUGCCUAUUACUUGUUUGAAUGAAAAACUAUGGUUAAUGAUGAAUAUGCAAAAGAUUGAUAUCAAAAUUGGUGUUUUUCCUUUCCUUUAAUUAGCUUAUGCUAUCAUGAAUAGUAUAAAUGGACCAGUCAGGUUUUGAAAUUUAUAUAUUAAAUAGUUUGGCUAGUAGAAGGUGAGGGAAAAUGUUAAGAGAAUGUAUGGAAGACAAAAAAUAUUUUCCUCUUUCAGAAAAUGUUUAGAAAAAAUGAACUAUGAAUGAUCACCAUCAUCACAACAUAUCUCCAAGUUCUAUGAAUCCUUAUAAAUAAUCUAUGAAUAAGAUCCUCCCAUCAAUAGUGAGAUUUAAACUCUCAUUUACUAAAAAAAAUCAUUAUAAAAAACUAAUUUUAAAUAUAAAAAUAAUUACUCAUUAUACUAACUACAUCAAAUAUUAUUUUAAAAAUUAAAAAAAAUUAUUUCUAUUUAAAAUAGUUUUUAUUAAUAAAUAUAAUAGUUUCUUAGUAUUUAAUUUAAUAUCAAAAUUUUAACUAUCAAUUUUAUAAUCUAAAAUUUUGUUAGACAAUUAAAUAUUAAUUUAAAAACUAUUUAUUAAUAAUAAAAAUUAUUUUAUAUACUAAUAAUUUUUUUAGUCAAAAAUAAUAUCUAAUUAAAUUAAUAUAGUGAUUAAUUAUUUUUUUUAUUUUUAAAAUUAGUUGUAUUUAAUUAUUUUAUUGUAGUAAUUUAUGUAAGAUACUAAAUCAUGUUGGGAAGGAUGUGUUCAUAAUUCUUCAUUAUAUUAAUCAUUGUUUUUUAUGAUGAUUAAUCCUUAAAAGGACAUUCACAUAGGAUAUGAGUAAAGUAUGUAGCAAUUAAUAAAUUAGUUAGUAAAAUAUCUCUAUUCCUAAUAGAAGCAAUUGAAUGGGAUUAUUAUUCUUAGUUUAUUUUAUUUUUUUAUGUAUGAGAUGAGGAACAAAAAAAAUGGUGCAUAUUGAAUAAUGUGGCUCUGGCCUCCAUUAUAGGAAAAGGUAAAUAGUGGCAGAUGCAUGCAAAGUCAACUACACACGUGAACUUUUACCCUACCCUACAACAAUCAAUAUUUACAUUUUUUUUUAAAUAUAUUUUCAAAUCAUUUCUAAGUUCUCAAAAUCCUUUUUCAAAAUGCAUUUUCAUAUUGAGUUCCGAAUUUUCUUUUCUACCAUGUGAUGUAUUUUUUUCAUUCCAAAUUCAUUUUUACAGAAACUAAUUAUUUUUUAUCUUUAAAAUUAGUUUUUAAAAUUAGUUUUUAUUUAAUAAUUUUAUUGUAGUAUAAUUAAAUCUUUGACCAAAUUUUAUAAUAGUUGAAUCCAAUUUGAAAAGAAAUGAACAAUUAUGGUUUCAUUUACCCAACUUCUAUAAUUGACAUGUACCCAACUUGUUCAUUUAUUUUUUCUUUACUUCAAAAGAGGAAAAGAAAUAAACUAAGUUGGGCAAAUGUCAAUUAAAGUCCUAUAUCCAUUUGGAAAUAUGACACCAAAUUGUUUGGUACCAAAGCACAUAUAGAGAUGCAUUGACUUAAAAACAAAGGAAAAGUUGGUCGUAUAACAACAUCAAUUGAAAACAAAAAACAUGUAAAGAGAAUACAUGAAAAAAGUAUUUCCAUUCCAUUUCACACAUUUGUUUUUACUUUUGUUCCCCCCACUUACCAUUUUGUCAUCCUCCUUUUCCCUCUCUUUCUUGCUCAACAGAAAAGCUGAAGAACCUUCAAUGGUGCUCACACAACUGAUCUGGCUUCAUUCAUGUCAAAAUUUGGAGGAAGAGGUGACUAAGGACAACAGGGUGAACUGUCAUAUGUACCAUACUAUUACAGUGGUGAUCCAACUCUG
Molecule: long non-coding RNA, 4966 nt
Filed under: Phaseolus vulgaris (common bean)
Lineage: Eukaryota; Viridiplantae; Streptophyta; Magnoliopsida; Fabales; Fabaceae
Description: long non-coding RNA (PVUL_LNC003285)
Source: RNAcentral